This 433-nucleotide ribosomal RNA is filed under the name uncultured bacterium. Its description in RNAcentral is "partial 16S ribosomal RNA". It matches the Rfam family "Bacterial small subunit ribosomal RNA", at positions 29 to 507 of the family's 1533-position model. The record is from RNAcentral.
AACGAACGCUGGCGGCAUGCCUAACACAUGCAAGUCGAACGAGACCUUCGGGUCUAGUGGCGCACGGGUGCGUAACGCGUGGGAACCUGCCCUUAGGUUCGGAAUAACUCCCCGAAAGGGGUGCUAAUACCGGAUAAUGUCUUCGGACCAAAGAGUUAUCGCCUUUGGAUGGGCCCGCGUUGGAUUAGCUAGUUGGUAGGGUAAAAGCCUACCAAGGCCACGAUGCAUAGCUGGUCUGAGAGGAUGAUCAGCUACACUGGGACUGAGACACGGCCCAGACUCCUACGGGAGGGAGCAGUGGGGAAUAUUGGACAAUGGGCGAAAGCCUGAUACAGCAAUGCCGCGUGAGUGAUGAAGGCCUUAGGGUUGUAAAGCUCUUUUACCCGGGAUGAUAAUGACAGUACCGGGAGAAUAAGCUCCGGCUAACUACGUG